CGUUAGCUACAAACCGUUGGGGGCUGAGCUCAACAUUUAUAUCUGCUCCGACAAAUCCAAGGUCAAUGCGUAGAGAGUGCCUUUCAAGGUUUAUAUCUGCUUCGGCAAAUUUUAGUUUUAUUUUUUAAUGUAAAGAUAAAUUAAGCGGAUUGGGUUUGUGGGGGUAAUUUAGAUAGUAAUCUUGGUUUAAAAAGAUAGUAAUAGAUAAUUUAGGUACAAUAUGAGCGCUGGAGUAAGUUGGCUGAGAUAAUAUUGGUUUUCUCUCGGUCUCCAUUUCCGGAAAUCCCAAUGUGUAAGUUCAUCUUACUUCCCCAAAUUCACAAUCCCUAAAACGUAAUUUGCUGCAUUUUCUGAUCAUUCAAUAUGUCGGCAACGUCAGCUACCAGCCGCCGGGGACUGAGCUCAGCCUCCUCAGUGAUGUUAGCCUUUCGCUUCCGGAGAAAAGUGCUCUGCUCUUGUCCCGUAAGUGCUGCCAUUCAGCCUGUACUGGGGGAAGUUCAUGUAUUUCUUACAAUUUUCAGUCCCCUCCUUUACCAGUGGCCCUUCAGGGAACCUUCUGUUGUCUCCACCCUUGAGCAUCAUGUUUUCAUUACAACCACUAUCUGCACUGAAAAUUUUCUUCUUCUUGUAUUUCUCAGACUUGACAACUUCUCUAGCAGCAAUAGAGCUUUCAGGAUGGAUCGUUCUAUGGAACAUGCGUAAGACCUGCAUGCCAGACAAAAGGACCAAUAAGUUGUAUUUGAAGUAAUAGGUUCUUUUUUAUCCUCAAUAUAAGACAACAGCAGGUAGUUUGGGAGAAAUUAUUCGAAGAAGGAUUGUUCUCUAAUGAAGACAUCUAAUGGAAACACUACUAUUGGGUUUAGAUAAACAAGGUUCUGUAGCGGGGUGCUAGGUUUUCCAGGGGUCAGUAAACUGGAAACAACACCUUACUUUGAGUGUGUAGAUCAUAUUGUAAGACCUGGAGAUGCUAACAAAGACAAUUUUCAUGCUACAUUUGCUUCUCACAAUUAAUUUAUGUGUCAGUGUUACAUUC
Malus domestica (apple) is the source of this 1033-nucleotide non-coding RNA. Lineage: Eukaryota; Viridiplantae; Streptophyta; Magnoliopsida; Rosales; Rosaceae. The record is from RefSeq and is a predicted model, not a curated record.